AGAGUUUGAUCAUGGCUCAGGACGAACGCUGGCGGCGUGCUUAACACAUGCAAGUCGAACGGAAGUUACGAGGAAGCCUAGCGAAUUGUAACUUUAGUGGCGGACGGGUGAGUAACGCGUGGAUAACCUGCCUACAUGACCGGGACAACACCGGGAAACUGGUGCUAAUACCGGAUACGCUCACGAAUGCACAUGCAUAUGUGAGGAAAGGAGCAAUCCGCAGGUAGAUGGGUCCGCGUCCCAUUAGCUAGUUGGGGGUGUAAAAGACCACCAAGGCGACGAUGGGUAGCCGGCCUGAGAGGGUGGACGGCCACACUGGAACUGAGACACGGUCCAGACUCCUACGGGAGGCAGCAGUGGGGAAUCUUCCGCAAUGGGCGCAAGCCUGACGGAGCAACGCCGCGUGAGUGAAGAAGGCUUUCGGGUUGUAAAACUCUGUCUUCAGGGAAGAAAAAAAUGACGGUACCUGAGGAGGAAGCCCCGGCUAACUACGUGCCAGCAGCCGCGGUAAAACGUAGGGGGCGAGCGUUGUCCGGAAUUACUGGGCGUAAAGGGCGCGUAGGCGGUUUCUUAAGUCAGAGGUGAAAACUGUGGGCUCAACCCACAGCCUGCCUUUGAAACUGGGAGACUUGAGGGCAGGAGAGGGGAGUGGAAUUCCCAGUGUAGCGGUGAAAUGCGUAGAUAUUGGGAGGAACACCAGUGGCGAAGGCGGCUCUCUGGCCUGUUUCUGACGCUGAGGCGCGAAAGCGUGGGGAGCAAACGGGAUUAGAUACCCCGGUAGUCCACGCCGUAAACGAUGGGUGCUAGGUGUAGGAGGUAUCGACCCCUUCUGUGCCGUAGUUAACACAAUAAGCACCCCGCCUGGGGAGUACGGCCGCAAGGUUGAAACUCAAAGGAAUUGACGGGGGCCCGCACAAGCGGUGGAGCAUGUGGUUUAAUUCGACGCAACGCGAAGAACCUUACCAGGGCUUGACAUCCUCUGACAGCCAUUGAAAGGUGGUAUUCUAGCUUCGGUUAGACAGAGAGACAGGUGGUGCAUGGUUGUCGUCAGCUCGUGUCGUGAGAUGUUGGGUUAAGUCCCGCAACGAGCGCAACCCUUACGUUUAGUUGCUAACGUGUAGCGAUGAGCACUCUAGACGAACUGCCGUUGACAAAACGGAGGAAGGUGGGGAUGACGUCAAAUCAUCAUGCCCCUUAUGUCCUGGGCUACACACGUGCUACAAUGGCCGGUACAAAGGGAGGCGAAGCCGCGAGGUGGAGCAAAUCCGAUAAAAGCCGGUCUCAGUUCGGAUUGCAGGCUGAAAUUCGCCUGCAUGAAGUCGGAAUCGCUAGUAAUCGCAGGUCAGCAUACUGCGGUGAAUACGUUCCCGGGCCUUGUACACACCGCCCGUCACACCACGAAAGCGAGCAACACCCGAAGCCGGUGACUUAACCUGAAAAGGAGAGAGCCGUCGAAGGUGGGGUUGGUGAUUGGGGUGAAGUCGUAACAAGGUAACCGUA
Molecule: ribosomal RNA, 1500 nt
Filed under: uncultured bacterium
Lineage: Bacteria
Description: bacterial SSU rRNA
Rfam family: Bacterial small subunit ribosomal RNA
Source: RNAcentral